CGCGACACCGCGUGGGCGAUGAAGGCCUUCGGGUCGUAAAGCCCUGUGAGAGAUCGAGAACAGAUGGAGGGUAAAUAGCCCUUUGUCUUGACUAGUCUCAGAGGAAGGCGCGGCUAACUACGUGCCAGCAGCAGCGGUAAUACGUAGGCGCCAAGCGUUGUUCGGAAUUACUGGGCGUAAAGGGCGCCUAGGCGGAUGUGUAAGUCGGGUGUGAAAUCCCUCGGCUCAACCGAGGAAUCGCGUCCGAUACUGCAUGUCUUGAGUGCAGAAGGGGAGAGCGGAACUCCUGGUGUAGCGGUGAAAUGCGUUGAUAUCAGGAUGAACGCCGGUGGCGAAAGCGGCUCUCUAGUCUGUUACUGACGCUGAAGCGCGAAAGCCAGGGGAGCAAACGGGAUUAGAUACCCCGGUAGUCCUGGCCGUAAACGAUGGGUACUAGGUAGAGGAAAUUCCGAUGUUUUCUCUGCCGUAGUUAACGCGUUAAGUACCCCGCCUGGGGAGUACGGCCGCAAGGCUA
Molecule: ribosomal RNA, 514 nt
Filed under: uncultured bacterium
Lineage: Bacteria
Description: bacterial SSU rRNA
Rfam family: Bacterial small subunit ribosomal RNA
Source: RNAcentral